RNAcentral lists this unclassified non-coding RNA (87 nucleotides) under Pseudomonas costantinii. Lineage: Bacteria; Pseudomonadati; Pseudomonadota; Gammaproteobacteria; Pseudomonadales; Pseudomonadaceae. The record is from RNAcentral.
GUGGGAGGGGGCUUGCUCCUGAUGGCGAUGUGUCAGUCAGCUUGUCUGUGGCUGGCACGCAGCUAUCGGGAUCAAGCCCCCUCCCUC